This 31-nucleotide transfer RNA is filed under the name Urocyon cinereoargenteus (gray fox). RNAcentral describes it as "partial tRNA-Thr". The record is from RNAcentral. Lineage: Eukaryota; Metazoa; Chordata; Mammalia; Carnivora; Canidae.
AAAAAUGGAGAUUAAUUAUCCUCCCUAAGAC